This is a long non-coding RNA of Oncorhynchus keta (chum salmon), 322 nucleotides long. RefSeq lists it as uncharacterized. Lineage: Eukaryota; Metazoa; Chordata; Actinopteri; Salmoniformes; Salmonidae. The record is from RefSeq and is a predicted model, not a curated record. The transcript is spliced from 4 exons.
UCUCUCCAGUACAGUAGGUAGACUGUGAAUGGCCUCUCUCUCCAGUACAGUAGGUAGACUGUGAAUGGCCUCUCUCUCCAGUACAGUAGGUAGACUGUGAAUGGCCUCUCUCUCCAGUACAGUAGGUAGACUGUGAAUGGCCUCUCUCUCCAGUACAGUAGGUAGACUGUGAAUGGCCUCUCUCUCCAGUACAGUAGGUAGACUGUGAAUGGCCUCUCUCUCCAGUACAGUAGGUAGACUGUGAAUGGCCUCUCUCUCCAGUACAGUAGGUAGACUGUGAAUGGCCUCUCUCUCCAGUACAGUAGGUAGACUGUGAAUGGCC